GGGACAGGGUAAGUAGAGCAUAGGGACAGGGUAAGUUGAGCAUAGGGACAGGGUAAGUUGAGCAUAGGGACAGGGUAAGUAGAGCAUAGGGACAGGGUAAGUUGAGCAUAGGGACAGGGUAAGUUGAGCAUAGGGACAGGGUAAGUUGAGCAUAGGGACAGGGUACGUUGAGCAUAGGGACAGGGUAAGUUGAGCAUAGGGACAGGGUAAGUAGAGCAUAGGGACAGGGUAAGUUGAGCAUAGAGACAGGGUAAAGACAGGGUAGGGACAGGGUAAAGAGAGCAUAGGGACAGGGUAAAGAGAGCAUAGGGACAGGGUAAGUAGAGCAUAGGGACAGGGUAAGGAGAGCAUAGGGACAGGGUAAGGAGAGCAUAGGGACAGGGUAAGUAGAGCAUAGGGACAGGGUAGGUUGAGAAUAGAGACAGGGUAAGUUGAGCAUAGACAGGGUAAGGAGAGCAUAGGGAGAGGGUAAAGAGAGCAUAGGGACAGGGUAAAGAAAGCAUAGGGACAGGGUAAGUUGAGCAUAGAGACAGGGUAAGGAGAGCAUAGGGAGAGGGUAAGUAGAGCAUAGGGACAGGGUAAGUAGAGCAUAGGGACAGGGUAAGUAGAGCAUAGGGACAGGGUAAGGAGAGCAUAGGGACAGGGUAAGGAGAGCAUAGGGACAGGGUAAAGAGAGCAUAGGGACAGGGUAGGUUGAGCCAACUUGGGGUAAGUGGGUGAUUGUGUCCUGUGACAGUGGGGGCUGGUGCAUGUUCUCAGAGCGUAAGACAUUAAUGUUCUAGACACAUUUCAUGGGAAUGUUGCAAGAACAUUCAUGUGUCCAGGUUCCUAAGGGUUAGGAGAAUGUUCCGCCCGUCCAAACAUACUGUAUACAGAAGAUGGUUGCCAUGUUCUCAGAACAUAAGAUAGUAAUGUUCUAGUAACGUUUCAUGGGAACAUUGCAAAAACAGUGUGUAAAAAAAAAAAUCCAUUACACAUCCUGUUGCUGAGCCAAUCAAGGCCCUGAUCAGUGAACCACUGAGAGCUCUUUGUCUGUUGGCAGAGUUGGGUAUACUCUCACACACAGUGAAUAAUUGAACUUGCAAAGUGUAAUCAUGUGUGUCAAAUAUGUAAGUUAUAAGCACUAACUCUUAUUCAACAUGUCCUCACCUGGGAUUUGAACUCACAACCUCUUGGUCUACAGUACUCCAAUCUUCCUGCUCUCAAUAGUUAGAUGAAUGGAUAUCAGGCAGGGACAUGGUGGCCAUGUCCGUGUCAGAUAUCCAUUAAUCUGAAGAUUGUGUCAUCAUUGAUUUGAUUGACUUAUUUCACAGCAAUUUAAGGACUUUGUGUAUAGGUGUCUAAUGUUGGUGGGGCAUAUAAACCUGUUUUACUGAUACUCCUGAAUCACUAUUAUCAAUAAAAUACUUUUAACAGAGCUGGAAUUUAGUUUGAAAGUGCAUUCACCCUACUACUUACACCCAUCAAGUUGUUUCAGAUCUACACAAGUGUGUAGGGAAGAGAGGUUAGGGUUUCUUCUGGACAGGACCUAACUGUACUAGACUAUAGACUAGACUAUAGACUAACUAUACAUGCCCUAGAGAUAACCCUUAUUGGGAAAGUGGUUAGGGUGUUUGUCAUUAAUGAUGCUGGCCUGGGCUUGAGACCUGCUAAGGGAGUCAUCCUACGCUCACGUUCUCAGCACUAUAUGUUAAUGACAGUUACAACACACUUAUCUGUUCUAAUUCAAAUGAGUUUGAAAGAUGGGAAUCUGUAGGAUUACCUUUGAGCACUAAAUGAUGACCAUAUUUCCACUACCUCUCAUAUGUUAUCAGUAUUUAUUCAUUCUAUACAGCUACCUAGAUUAAAUAAAGGUUCAAUGAAAUCAAUUGUUUUCUUGAAAUCCACACCGUUCAAAAAUUGGAUUUAGCAGCUGCAGAUUGCAGAUUAACAUAUUGUGAUGUCUGCUUUGUCCCAAGUGAUUCUGUUGCAAUCUGUCUGUUUUUCCACAUUAAAACUUGGAGAUGGAA
Long non-coding RNA from Oncorhynchus tshawytscha (Chinook salmon), 2009 nucleotides. Lineage: Eukaryota; Metazoa; Chordata; Actinopteri; Salmoniformes; Salmonidae. The record is from Ensembl.